RNAcentral lists this ribosomal RNA (433 nucleotides) under uncultured bacterium. RNAcentral describes it as "partial 16S ribosomal RNA". It matches the Rfam family "Bacterial small subunit ribosomal RNA", at positions 29 to 507 of the family's 1533-position model. The record is from RNAcentral.
AACGAACGCUGGCGGCAUGCCUAACACAUGCAAGUCGAACGAGACCUUCGGGUCUAGUGGCGCACGGGUGCGUAACGCGUGGGAACCUGCCCUUAGAUUCGGAAUAACUCCCCGAAAGGGGUGCUAAUACCGGAUAAUGUCUUCGGACCAAAGAUUUAUCGCCUUUGGAUGGGCCCGCGUUGGAUUAGCUAGUUGGUAGGGUAAAAGCCUACCAAGGCGACGAUCCAUAGCUGGUCUGAGAGGAUGAUCAGCCACACUGGGACUGAGACACGGCCCAGACUCCUACGGGAGGCAGCAGUGGGGAAUAUUGGACAAUGGGCGAAAGCCUGAUCCAGCAAUGCCGCGUGAGUGAUGAAGGCCUUAGGGUUGUAAAGCUCUUUUACCCGGGAUGAUAAUGGCAGUACCGGGAGAAUAAGCUCCGGCUAACUCCGUG